UACGGAAGGCAGCAGGGGGAAUAUUGCACAAUGGGCGAAAGCCUGAUGCAGCUAUGCCGCGUGUAUGAAGAAGGCCUUAGGGCUGUAAAGUACUUUCAUCGGGGAGGAAAAAACAAAACUAAUAAUUUUAUUUCUUGACGUUACCCGAAAAAGAAGCACCGGCUAACUCCGUGCCAGCAGCCGCGGUAAUACGGAGGGUGCUAGCGUUAAUCAGAAUUACUGGGCGUAAAGAGCACGUAGGUGGUUUUUUUAAGUCAGAUGUGAAAUCCCUGGGCUUAACCUAGGAACUGCAUUUUGAAACUGAAAUACUAGAGUAUCGUAGAGGGAGGUAGAAUUCUAGGUGUAGCGGUGAAAUGCGUAGAUAUCUGGAGGAAUACCUGUGGCGAAAGCGGCCUCCUAAACGAAUACUGACACUGAGGUGCGAAAGCGUGGGGAGCAAACAGGGAUUAGAUACC
Molecule: ribosomal RNA, 455 nt
Filed under: uncultured bacterium
Lineage: Bacteria
Description: bacterial SSU rRNA
Rfam family: Bacterial small subunit ribosomal RNA
Source: RNAcentral